UCAUCCAUUGUAAUCCAUUUAUAGUAAAAUAAUUUCUUGUACAUUAGAGUAAGGAAUUCCUAUUACGUGCUCUUACAAACAGAGACUAAUGAACAACAUAGGGCAUACCACACCGCAUUAUUUACUAAGCCUCCAAGGAAAUCGGGACAAUCUCAGAGCUAAACCAAGAGACAUAUACACAUAUAUUGAUCCUUAUGGUAGUGGCUUUAAUGGAGCCUCCAGACGGUAGCAACAGACAAGUAUUCGACUAGUUAUAUAAUAAAGUGAGAGUAUGCUUUGAGCAUAUUAAUUCUUCUGUUAUGUUAUAUGAACUGUUCGAAAUUUGGGGCCCUAAUUCGUUUUUUGCCCAGGGCCCCAAAUUUUGGGUGACAACCUUGAUCAAAUAGAACACCUAAAAUUGUCCAUUAUUGGAACUUGAAUGCCUAUCACAAGAAGGUUUUAUUACUGGACCACAUCAUUAUCCAUCGUUGAACAUCAUGACCUAGUACAGUUCUAGGACUCACAAACAACACAGGCACAAUGCCAAAAGUUUGGGAUGACUUCCCUACAGUAAGAAUUCGAGACUUCUGGUCCCCAUUUUCUCAUGCAGGAUAAUUGACAUUUUAAUUUCGUGCAUAAAGUGGCUCCAAAUGCAAUUCCAGUAAAGCAUUGCUCUGUAGAGAAGAACACACAUCAUUAAAAGAAGUCCAUAUUGAAAAAAAUCCAAGAAAGUUUACGUAGUUUGGGUGAAAAAUAUUAUUCUACUCUAGUUCUCAUGAGAAAGGAAAUAAAAAGGGAAAUGGAGAUCAAUAUCAUACCAACAUGAAUGGAAUUUCCAAGCUGCGCAAUCACCAUGAGGCAAAGAAGUAUAGCUUUCCCUUCCAUAAGACCGGACACAAAGUUCUUCUUCUCCUC
Molecule: long non-coding RNA, 894 nt
Filed under: Triticum aestivum (bread wheat)
Lineage: Eukaryota; Viridiplantae; Streptophyta; Magnoliopsida; Poales; Poaceae
Description: long non-coding RNA (TAES_LNC028331)
Source: RNAcentral